RNAcentral lists this ribosomal RNA (1329 nucleotides) under Triticum aestivum (bread wheat). Its description in RNAcentral is "partial small subunit ribosomal RNA". The record is from RNAcentral. Lineage: Eukaryota; Viridiplantae; Streptophyta; Magnoliopsida; Poales; Poaceae.
AUGCGCGGCCCAAGGCCCGCUACCGGAACCCACCGGACCCCCCGAGCCGUUUAUGAGUCUCCGUUUCGUUCCCCUCCUUACUGCGGCUCCUUGUGGCUCCGGUCGGGUGGGCUGGCGGAAGGGCGGGGGGCGGAGGGCCGGAGCCAACUGGCGGCGGCGGCUGGGAGACACGGCUGCGGGGAAGCGGAACGCACUGGCGGUGGCGGCGCAAUCUCAGUGGUCAGGGCGGAGGGCCGGUGGCCACUGGCGCCUGCGGCUGCGAGACACAACUGCGGGAAGCCAGAGCUGACUGGCGAGGGUGGCCUGAGGUUGAUAAUGGCUGAUGCUAGUUACCGCCGAAGACUGCGGGAUGCAGAAAAGUGUCGCAAUUGUGAGAAAACUGUCAUUUCUCAAACUGAAGACAUUUUUCGCAGGCCCGUCAACAUCCAGAGGCACCUGAAUGACCUUUUCAGAAUAGAAUUUCCCUUAAGACCAACUCCAGAUCAAUUUAUGGAAUUCUAUAGAGUUACUCGGGAACGCUAUGAAGCAAUCUCUUUUAUGUCAGUUCCUGGAGUUUUAUAUGAUGGCAGACCUGUUCAGAUCCCAGUCACGGCCCCUAGUUACAUCGGGGAAGAGACUUACCACACCAUUGUCAUACGCCUUGACAAUGGAUAUGUUGUGGAGUUUCUUGUUCAAGAAUCAAACAAUUAUCUUGUUGGGCUUAGAGUAUAUCGGAUUGAAAAUCAGAGAAAUGCUGCCCCUUGGUUUGUAUUCAAGAGAGUGACAUUACCUCCCUACUUCGGACAAUGCAUACCAAUCAGCUAUCCCUUGAGCUACAGUAAUGUUGGCUUGGUCUUAUUUGGAGCUGGAGCUGUCUCGGCUGCAGUGGACUUCUUUUCCACAUUUCUGGAAAAUCCUCACCAGCAGUCUACAGAUCAGGGUAAACUGCACUGCCAGUUAUUCUUUCUGCUGUUUGGUGAAGGACCCCGGUUCCGUAUUGCGCAGCAGUGGGCUAGAGACAAUGCUCUCAAUGCCAAUUGGCAAAAUCCACAAGCUGUUCUUCUCGAACUACUGCAUGAUUAUUCCAAGCUAUCUGAUUGUUCGCUUCACCUCUAUCAGUAUUAUGUUGAGAUCCCUUUUCUUGAUGCCCUUUCGGACGACCUGAAGGAGCUCAGUCCUUUUGCUCGUACCCUGUCUGAUGCUAAGAAUAGCUGGGAGCAAUUUGAGGCCAAAUACGCCAAAUUUGAAAAUUCUGGCUUGGUCUUCCGAAGAUUAUGUUGCAAUCUUUGGUGGGCGGUGAACUGUUGCUUCUCAAUUACAAUUACAAGUUUUGCACAAGGAUUCAGAUGA